UCUCCGUUGGUGAACCAGCGGAGGGAUCAUUAUCGAGUUUAUAACUCCCAAACCCUAUGUGAACUUACCACUUGUUGCUUCGGCGCGCGCUUCGGUGCCGCCGAGGACACUUAAACUCUUUGUUUUUAUAAGCAUUUCUGAGUGGCCGAAAGGCAAAAUACAAAUGAAUCAAAACUUUCAACAACGGAUCUCUUGGUUCUGGCAUCGAUGAGAACGCAGC
Molecule: unclassified non-coding RNA, 220 nt
Filed under: plant metagenome
Description: partial contains small subunit ribosomal RNA, internal transcribed spacer 1, and 5.8S ribosomal RNA
Rfam family: 5.8S ribosomal RNA (bases 173-220)
Source: RNAcentral